GAUGAACGCUGGCGGCGUGCCUAAUACAUGCAAGUCGAGCGAACAGAUGAGGAGCUUGCUCCUCUGACGUUAGCGGCGGACGGGUGAGUAACACGUGGAUAACCUACCUAUAAGACUGGGAUAACUUCGGGAAACCGGAGCUAAUACCGGAUAAUAUAUUGAACCGCAUGGUUCAAUAGUGAAAGACGGUUUUGCUGUCACUGAUAGAUGGAUCCGCGCCGCAUUAGUUAGUUGGUAAGGUAACGGCUUACCAAGGCAACGAUGCGUAGCCGACCUGAGAGGGUGAUCGGCCACACUGGAACUGAGACACGGUCCAGACUCCUACGGGAGGCAGAAGUAGGGAAUCUUCCGCAAUGGGCGAAAGCCUGACGGAGCAACGCCGCGUGAGUGAUGAAGGUCUUCGGAUCGUAAAACUCUGUUAUUAGGGAAGAACACAUGUGUAAGUAACUAUGCACGUCUUGACGGUACCUAAUCAGAAAGCCACGGCUAACUACGUG
This 497-nucleotide ribosomal RNA is filed under the name uncultured bacterium. RNAcentral's name for it is "partial 16S ribosomal RNA". It matches the Rfam family "Bacterial small subunit ribosomal RNA", at positions 28 to 507 of the family's 1533-position model. The record is from RNAcentral.